UUUUUUUACCUAUACUCCCUUGCCAUUGUAGUCCACUUUUAUUCACAUACACACUUGCACAAACACUCACGCUUCUGCAAAAACACCAACAGUGGUAUCAGAGCCACGUCUUUGGUUGGUAUUGGGUGUUUGUCCUACCUACCCAUUCCUAAAACUACCCUUUCCAAAUACCCACUAACUAAACCAUGGCCAACUCUACCUCAU
This 204-nucleotide long non-coding RNA is filed under the name Eucalyptus grandis. Its description in RNAcentral is "long non-coding RNA (EGRA_LNC000514)". Lineage: Eukaryota; Viridiplantae; Streptophyta; Magnoliopsida; Myrtales; Myrtaceae. The record is from RNAcentral.